This 505-nucleotide ribosomal RNA is filed under the name uncultured bacterium. RNAcentral's name for it is "partial 16S ribosomal RNA". It matches the Rfam family "Bacterial small subunit ribosomal RNA", at positions 28 to 507 of the family's 1533-position model. The record is from RNAcentral.
GACGAACGCUGGCGGCGUGCCUAAUACAUGCAAGUAGAACGCACAGUUUAUACCGUAGCUUGCUACACCAUAAACUGUGAGUUGCGAACGGGUGAGUAACGCGUAGGUAACCUGCCUGGUAGCGGGGGAUAACUAUUGGAAACGAUAGCUAAUACCGCAUAAUAUUGAUUAUUGCAUGAUAAUUGAUUGAAAGAUGCUAUUGCAUCACUACCAGAUGGACCUGCGUUGUAUUAGCUAGUAGGUGAGGUAAAGGCUCACCUAGGCGACGCUACAUAGCCCACCUGAGAGGGUGAUCGGCCACCCUGGGACUGAGACACGGCCCAGACGCCUACGGGAGGCAGCAGUAGGGAAUCUUCGGCAAUGGACGAAAGUCUGACCGAGCAACGCCGCGUGAGUGAAGAAGGUUUUCGGAUCGUAAAGCUCUGUUGUAAGAGAAGAACGGGUGUGAGAGUGGAAAGUUCACACUGUGACGGUAUCUUACCAGAAAGGGACGGCUAACUACGUG